RNAcentral lists this ribosomal RNA (460 nucleotides) under uncultured bacterium. Its description in RNAcentral is "partial 16S ribosomal RNA". It matches the Rfam family "Bacterial small subunit ribosomal RNA", at positions 338 to 795 of the family's 1533-position model. The record is from RNAcentral.
CCUACGGGAGGCAGCAGUGAGGAAUAUUGGUCAAUGGACGCAAGUCUGAACCAGCCAUGCCGCGUGCAGGAAGACGGCUCUAUGAGUUGUAAACUGCUUUUGUACGAGGGUAAACGCAGAUACGCGUAUCUGUCUGAAAGUAUCGUACGAAUAAGGAUCGGCUAACUCCGUGCCAGCAGCCGCGGUAAUACGGAGGAUUCAAGCGUUAUCCGGAUUUAUUGGGUUUAAAGGGGGCGUAGGCGGUCGGAUAAGUUAGAGGUGAAAUCCCGGGGCUCAACUUCGGAAUUGCCUCUGAUACUGUUCGGCGAGAGAGUAGUAGGGGUAGGCGGAAUGUAUGGUGUAGCGGUGAAAUGCUUAGAGAUCAUACAGAACACCGAUUGCGAAGGCAGCUUACCGGGCUACUUCUGACGUUGAGGCACGAAAGCGUGGGGAGCAAACAGGAUUAGAUACCCGGGUAGUC